Molecule: ribosomal RNA, 497 nt
Filed under: uncultured bacterium
Lineage: Bacteria
Description: partial 16S ribosomal RNA
Rfam family: Bacterial small subunit ribosomal RNA
Source: RNAcentral
GAUGAACGCUGGCGGCGUGCCUAAUACAUGCAAGUCGAGCGAACAGACGAGGAGCUUGCUCCUCUGACGUUAGCGGCGGACGGGUGAGUAACACGUGGAUAACCUACCUAUAAGACUGGGAUAACUUCGGGAAACCGGAGCUAAUACCGGAUAACAUGUUGAACCGCAUGGUUCAACAGUGAAAGACGGUCUUGCUGUCACUUAUAGAUGGAUCCGCGCCGCAUUAGCUAGUUGGUAAGGUAACGGCUUACCAAGGCAACGAUGCGUAGCCGACCUGAGAGGGUGAUCGGCCACACUGGAACUGAGACACGGUCCAGACUCCUACGGGAGGCAGCAGUAGGGAAUCUUCCGCAAUGGGCGAAAGCCUGACGGAGCAACGCCGCGUGAGUGAAGAAGGUCUUCGGAUCGUAAAACUCUGUUAUCAGGGAAGAACAAAUGUGUAAGUACCUAUGCACGUCUUGACGGUACCUAAUCAGAAAGCCACGGCUAACUACGUG